UCCCCGUUUCACAGGGCAGUCUGACCAGAGUGCUAGAACCCGAAGGUCCGGAGCAACAGGUCACAAGGGUUGCGCUCGUUGCGGGACUUAACCCAACAUCUCACGACACGAGCUGACGACAGCCAUGCAGCACCUGUGCAAAUUACCUCUUGCGAGGUUCACCGGCUUUCGCCGGCUGAGAGAUGCAUGUCAAGCCCAGGUAAGGUUCUUCGCGUUGCAUCGAAUUAAGCCACAUACUCCACCGCUUGUGCGGGCCCCCGUCAAUUUCUUUGAGUUUUAAUCUUGCGAUCGUACUCCCCAGGCGGCGCGUUUAACGCGUUAGCUGCGGCACGGAAGGGGUCGAAUCCUCCCACACCAAACGCGCACCGUUUACUGCCAGGACUA
Molecule: unclassified non-coding RNA, 384 nt
Filed under: uncultured Chthoniobacteraceae bacterium
Lineage: Bacteria; Pseudomonadati; Verrucomicrobiota; Spartobacteria; Chthoniobacterales; Chthoniobacteraceae
Description: contains 16S-23S intergenic spacer region
Source: RNAcentral